Molecule: transfer RNA, 68 nt
Filed under: Marmota monax (woodchuck)
Lineage: Eukaryota; Metazoa; Chordata; Mammalia; Rodentia; Sciuridae
Description: tRNA.Val
Source: RNAcentral
GGCCUGUGGCUUGGUGGUAGAGCGUUUGCCUCACAUGUAUGCGGCACUGGGUUUGAUCCUCAGCACCA